GAUGAACGCUGGCGGCGUGCCUAAUACAUGCAAGUCGAGCGAACGGACGAGAAGCUUGCUUCUCUGAUGUUAGCGGCGGACGGGUGAGUAACACGUGGAUAACCUACCUAUAAGACUGGGAUAACUUCGGGAAACCGUAGCUAAUACCGGAUAAUAUUUUGAACCGCAUGGUUCAAAAGUGAAAGACGGUCUUGCUGUCACUUAUAGAUGGAUCCGCGCUGCAUUGGCUAGUUGGUAAGGUGACGGCUUACCAAGGCAACGAUGCAUAGCCGACCUGAGGGGGUGAUCGGCCACACUGGAACUGAGACACGGUCCAGACUCCUACGGGAGGCAGCAGUAGGGAAUCUUCCGCAAUGGGCGAAAGCCUGACGGAGCAACGCCGCGUGAGUGAUGGAGGUCUUCGGAUCGUAAAACUCUGUUAUUAGGGAAGAACAUAUGUGUAAGUAACUGUGCACAUCUUGACGGUACCUAAUCAGAAAGCCACGGCUAACUACGUG
This 497-nucleotide ribosomal RNA is filed under the name uncultured bacterium. Its description in RNAcentral is "partial 16S ribosomal RNA". It matches the Rfam family "Bacterial small subunit ribosomal RNA", at positions 28 to 507 of the family's 1533-position model. The record is from RNAcentral.